GAGUUUGAUCUUGGCUCAGGAUGAACGCUGGCGGCGUGCUUAACACAUGCAAGUCGAACGAAGCACUUGAAUGGAAUUCUUCGGAAGGAAGCUCAAGUGACUGAGUGGCGGACGGGUGAGUAACGCGUGGGUAACCUGCCUUGUACUGGGGGACAACAGUUAGAAAUGACUGCUAAUACCGCAUAAGCGCACAGUAUCGCAUGAUACAGUGUGAAAAACUCCGGUGGUACAAGAUGGACCCCGCGUCUGAUUAGCUAGUUGGUAAGGUAACGGCUUACCAAGGCGACGAUCAGUAGCCGACCUGAGAGGGUGACCGGCCACAUUGGGACUGAGACACGGCCCAAACUCCUACGGGAGGCAGCAGUGGGGAAUAUUGCACAAUGGGCGAAAGCCUGAUGCAGCGACGCCGCGUGAGUGAAG
This 420-nucleotide ribosomal RNA is filed under the name uncultured bacterium. RNAcentral's name for it is "bacterial SSU rRNA". It matches the Rfam family "Bacterial small subunit ribosomal RNA", at positions 9 to 410 of the family's 1533-position model. The record is from RNAcentral.